RNAcentral lists this long non-coding RNA (316 nucleotides) under Gossypium barbadense (sea-island cotton). Its description in RNAcentral is "long non-coding RNA (GBAR_LNC012283)". The record is from RNAcentral. Lineage: Eukaryota; Viridiplantae; Streptophyta; Magnoliopsida; Malvales; Malvaceae.
GAAAAUAAGCCAAAAUUGGCCAUCAUCUUCUCCAUUCAGCUGAAACUUGCAUGGACACCAUGGCUAGGGUUUGGUUCAAGCUUCCAAGCUCAUUUGUAAGUGAUCUCGAGCCUUGUUUUUAAUGUUCUUUACAUUUUUAAAGUCCCGGUAACUCGAUCUAUCUAUUUCUACCAUUAUUUUGAGCUAGGGUUCAUGUUUAAAAAUUUUCCCAUGAAUGAUAUGCAUGUGUUUUGAUUUCUAAUGGUAGAAACUGAAAGUUGGGUGUUAAAUAAACAACUUUUGCUAAAUGAUUUUCGGUGAAAAUGCUUAAAAGGAC